UGGUUCUGGCAUCGAUGAAGAACGCAGCGAAAUGCGAUAAGUAAUGUGAAUUGCAGAAUUCAGUGAAUCAUCGAAUCUUUGAACGCACAUUGCGCCCCCUGGUAUUCCGGGGGGCAUGCCUGUUCGAGCGUCAUUUCACCAAUCAAGCCCCGCUUGGUAUUGGGCGAUCGGCCCGCACCCCGUCGUGCGGGCCCGCCCCAAAGGCAUCGGCGAGGACACCGACCCCCGGCGUGUUAAGAUCUCCCCCCGUGGGAACGACGUCAGGAGCACCGGUGCGCUCGGCCGCGAAAUGACGGGGACUCCCCAUCUCAGGGACCCCCCGAAAACCCCAUCAGGUUGACCUCGGAUCAGGUAGGAAUACCCGCUGA
This 368-nucleotide unclassified non-coding RNA is filed under the name uncultured fungus. RNAcentral describes it as "partial contains 5.8S ribosomal RNA and internal transcribed spacer 2". The stretch from base 1 to 133 matches the Rfam family "5.8S ribosomal RNA", at positions 22 to 154 of the family's 154-position model. Lineage: Eukaryota; Fungi. The record is from RNAcentral.